UAGUUUUAUGUUAUUUGAAGUUUUAUGGUAUAUUCACAUUUAUUUGACUUUUUUUUUUUGGGCACUCACCUCGCUCAAGCGCAUACAUGCACCUUGCACCUAGGCUCCAGACUCCUUGGAGCCUUAGUGAGCCUUUAAUAACUACGUUGUAAUGGUUGUAAACUUGUAAUAUAACAAUAACGGCUUGUCGCUAUGCAAAUUUUUUUGAAA
This 210-nucleotide unclassified non-coding RNA is filed under the name Hevea brasiliensis (rubber tree). Lineage: Eukaryota; Viridiplantae; Streptophyta; Magnoliopsida; Malpighiales; Euphorbiaceae. The record is from RNAcentral.